UCCCUGGUGGUUCAAUGGUUAAGACUCUAUGUUUCCAAUGCAAGGGGCUCGGGUUCAAUCCCUGGUCAGGGAG
RNAcentral lists this transfer RNA (73 nucleotides) under Bos taurus (domestic cattle). It matches the Rfam family "tRNA". Rfam says of the family: Transfer RNA (tRNA) molecules are approximately 80 nucleotides in length. Their secondary structure includes four short double-helical elements and three loops (D, anti-codon, and T loops). Lineage: Eukaryota; Metazoa; Chordata; Mammalia; Artiodactyla; Bovidae. The record is from Rfam by way of RNAcentral.